Non-coding RNA from Coffea arabica (coffee), 2694 nucleotides. NCBI's taxonomy places the organism in Eukaryota, Viridiplantae, Streptophyta, Magnoliopsida, Gentianales, Rubiaceae. The record is from RefSeq and is a predicted model, not a curated record.
UUAGUUUCAAAGUAGAUUGGAUUAACCAACUUUAAAAAAAUGGAGCUGAAACGGGGAGUAGGAACAGGAAUUCAAAACAAACACAAGAACGAAGGGGAAAAACAGAAUAAGAAUGCCUGAUUGAUUGCAGUUUUUGACAAAUCCGGCAUAAAUCUGAGGAGUAAAAAGUGAAGAAUGAUGAUGACAAGAAUAGUGGCUGGAAAAUGGAGGUUCUCCAUUUCAUUGCUUCCAUCGCAGUUGAACUACUCGGCCACUUUCAUUUCAAGACCUCAACUGCUUAUUCCUCCUGCACAACAAUCUUAUAAUUCAGAUACAGGCUAUCAGACACUUGUGCAGAUUCUUGAAGCAUGCAAGUCCUCUCAUGAUUUGAGAACUGUGAUCGCAAUGCAUGCUAAGAUUGUUAAACAUGGGUAUGGGAUGUACCCAUCUAUGUUGUCAUUGUUGAUAUCCAUAUAUGUUACCUGUCAAUGCCGCAACCUUGCUUGCGAAUUGCAGAAGGAAAUUUCGUACCGGAAUGUUGAUAUUGUCUCUGCAAAUUUAAUCAUUUCAAGUUUCAUGAAGAUAGGAGAAAUUAAUAUUGCCAAGAAGAUAUUUCAGAAUGUGCCUUCCCGUGAUGUAGUCACUUGGAACUCGCUGAUUGGAGGUUGUGUAAAAAAUGCUUCAUUUCAGGAAGCAUUGAGUACUUUCAGAGAGAUGUUGAGAAGACAAAUUGAACCAGAUGGAUUUACAUUUGCAUCUACUAUUGCUGCAUGUGCUAGACUUGGAGCUCUUCAUCAUGGGAAGUGGAUACAUAGUAUGAUGAUAGAGAAAAGAAUUGAACUAAAUUACAUCUUAUCUUCUGCAUUGGUAGACAUGUAUGCAAAAUGUGGGCAAAUUAACACUGCAAAAGAAAUUUUUGAUGGUGUCCAACGCACUGAUGUUUCUAUAUGGAAUGCGAUGAUUAAUGGAUUAGCAAUUCAUGGCCUUGCUUUGGAUGCUAUUGCAAUAUUCUCAAGGAUGAAAGGGGAAAAUGUCUUGCCCAAUUCAAUAACUUUUAUUGGGAUUCUAACUGCAUGUAGCCAUUGUGGCUUGGUUGAAGAGGGUCGCAAAUAUUUUGAUCUGAUGAGAACCUUAUACUUGAUCCAGCCACAGCUUGAGCACUAUGGAGCCAUGGUUGACCUGUUGGGGAGAGCUGGACGUCUAGAAGAAGCCUAUGGAAUAAUUAAGGAAAUGACUGUCGAACCUGAUAUUGUUAUAUGGAGAGCAUUACUCAGCGCCUGCAGAAUGCAUAAGAACUCUGAGUUGGGUGAAGUAGCCAUUGAAAAGAUUUCACAUCUUAGUAGUGGAGAUUAUGUUUUAAUGUCAAAUAUUUACUGCUCCAUCAAAAAGUGGGACAGCUCUGAGGGGAUGAGAUACAUGAUGAAGGAAAACGGUGUUCGUAAAUGUAGUGGAAAAAGUUGGCUGGAAUUUGGUGGUGCAAUUCACCAAUUCAAUGCUGGUGACAAAUCACAUUGUGAGGCUAUUCUGAUAGACAAAGUGUUGGAAUCAUUGAUCCAUAGAACCAAAAUAGAGGGGUUUAUGUCUGAAACAGACUUGGUUUUUAUGGAUGUUUCUGAGGAGGAAAAGGAGGAAAACUUGAAUUAUCACAGUGAAAAGUUGGCUGUGGCCUAUGGGAUACUAAAAUCAAGUCCUGGGGCUGAAAUUCUGAUAUCCAAAAACCUUCGGACUUGUCUUGAUUGCCACUCCUGGAUGAAAGUUGUAUCAAAGCUAUUAAACAGGGUGAUAAUUGUGAGGGACAGGAUUCGAUUUCACAGGUUUGAGCGUGGAACCUGUACCUGCAGAGACUAUUGGUAGUCACUCUUGAUUAAGCUGGGCCAUUAUAUUUGUGCUCGGACCAAGGAGUUGCCCUGGCUCUUCAGUGGAUCUUUGAGAUAAGAGUUCCUGAUCGAUUAAUUUUCAUGUUCUGCUGCAAAAGAAAGAGUAGAAGAUCCAUCAAUUUGUCAACAACUUGUUGCGAAGUUCAUCUGCAGGGUAGAGUGAAAUUUUGCGGCUGUCAAGUUACAUAUUCAAUUUAACAUGUGAAAAAGGUUUUAGUGUCAGCCUGGAGUGGUACAGCCAUUCUGAAUUUGCAUGUUCUAAAGAGCCCAAAUUAUAUAAAGAUAAAUGCUUGCUUAAUCUGGUAGCUGACUCUGUAACAUGAGCAUCUGCUAUGGAGAAGUGAAAUAGAUCCCCCAAGUUUGAAAAUGGAAGCAGCCAAAGCGAAAUAAUGAAAUGUUGCCAGCUUGAAAGGGCCUGCUUUUUGGUCCACUGGAGUUGGACUAAAUUUGCUGGUGGUCUUUAACCCCAUCAUGAUCCUAGUGACACAAAUCGUUUUGUCUCCUUGGAGAGUUGCAGUUUGCUGGAAAUUUUUGUGCUUCUUUGGACCUGAGUGUGGUGUUGGUGUAACUGUGCAAGGCUACUUGGAAUGUGCUGUUCAUUUCUAAUCCUGCUUUGUCUUUGUUGUCUGCAACUAUAUGGAUUCACUGCUUCAGCAUGAUUAGGAAAUUAUAAACUUAUGAGAUAGAUAGCGUUGAGGGCUUGGAAAACUAGGAGGAUCCAAUAGUCUAAUCUUGUGUGGAGGAUCAAUUUUAUCUUCUUCUUAUCAAAGAUUCCUCCUCGAAUUCCUUUUUUUUUUUUUUUAAAGCUUCUCCUUGAAUUCUUAAUUGGAUAAACUGA